Gasterosteus aculeatus aculeatus (three-spined stickleback) is the source of this 1804-nucleotide long non-coding RNA. NCBI's taxonomy places the organism in Eukaryota, Metazoa, Chordata, Actinopteri, Perciformes, Gasterosteidae. The record is from Ensembl.
CCCUCCCUCCCUAAAAGUGAGGCAACGGUUGCCUAGAACAUCACCACCACUCGAUGGGUGGGGGGGCUGCUCGGAAAGUGAUGCAGAGAGAGAGAGAGAGAGAGCGCAGUUGACCCCCCCGCCGUGUUUGCGCAUCCCUCCUCUUUGGCGGAGCGGCAAAUCACGGAGUUGCGGCCUCAUUGGCGCUGUCAGGCGCGUACAGUGGUGUUUAUCUGCAUGGCGCUGCUGCUUAACUGGUUCAAAUGUUAUGGAAAUGAUAUUUACCUCUUCUGUGAUCCUGUAAACUCCAAACGGGGAGGCCGGUUUCUCCUCCCGCUCCUUCCUCCUCCCCUGGCUGAGGGGGGAAAGCGCUUAAGGAAGGCGCUAUAAAUACAGACAAGGAAGGAAAAACAUCAAAUAAAAUAGACGUCCAGGACUGAACGUUUUAAAUCACCCCCCCCCUCUGAUCCCUGGCACCAUCGCGUACAUCUUCAACUCUGAUCGCGGCCUUAAUCUCAGUGAGAACUCGCUCGGGUCGUAAUGAGUGGACGUGACCGCGCGAUGCUCACUUCUCACCGAGAGGGGGCGCGCUGACCCCUGCUUCACACCGGCGACAAUGAGACGUCCCGCCCCCACCGGCAAUGCGAUGUGAGCCGCGGGACCGCGAUCGCUCAAGUUGUUCCCAGUUUCAAAUAUUCCAAACGCCUUGUGUUCAUAUAGAUACACAUUGUGUAUCAUGUUAUAAUAAUUAUUAAAGAAUAGCUGAAUUUUAAUUAAGGGAGAAUUCAUAUUAUACUACAUCAAGCACAUAGUUUCAGCUCAUGUACAUGGAUUGUGUGUAGGCGCUGUUCUUUAUAGUAAUGAAUCAAGUAUAAUGUAAAUGCCAUGUAGUUAUAACUUAGUUUACCCAAUAAAAAAACCACGUAAGAAAAGUAAUGAACCCAUUCCAGCUGUUAUGUCUGCUCACAACAGCUGCAACUGUUAAUAAAGAACUCAAAAUACAAGUUGUGGUUUUUGCUGAUUAAACUUGAUUGCAAUUUGUAGGUCAAAAUAAAAUACAAUCAAUGUUAGUGUAGCCCAGCUAAAGCUCGUGAGGGUGCAUCAAAGAUGGAUCCAGAGGUGGAUCAAACACACAAGUAAUUACAACAAAAAGGGGUGCGCGUCGUAAUUACACAAACGCAUCAUGGUGUGUGGGUUAUAAUUACACAAAGAACAACGUUUUCUGGCUGUUAUUACACAAUAAGAACAAUGUGUGCAGGCUUUAAUUACACAAUAAGAACAAUGUGUGCAGGAUGUAAUUACACAAUACAAACAAUGAGUGCAGGCUGUAAUAACACAAUACGAACAAUGUGUGCAGGCUUUAAUUACACAAUAAGAACAAUGUGUGCAGGAUGUAAUUACACAAUACAAACAAUGAGUGCAGGAUGUAAUUACACAAUAAGAACAAUGUGUGCAGGCUGUAAUUACACAAUAAGAACAAUGUGUGCAGGAUGUAAUUACACAAUAAGAACAAUGUGUGCAGGAUGUAAUUACACAAUAAGAACAAUGAGUGCAGGCUGUAAUUACACAAUAAGAACAAUGUGUGCAGGCUGUAAUUACACAAUAAGAACAAUGUGUGCAGGAUGUAAUUACACAAUAAGAACAAUGUGUGCAGACUGUAAUUACACAAUAAGAACAAUGUGUGCAGGCUGUAAUUACACAAUAAGAACAAUGUGUGCAGACUGUAAUUACACAAUAAGAACAAUGUGUGCAGACUGUAAUUACACAAUAAGAACAAUGUGUGCAGGCUGUAAUUACACAAUCUAAACAAGGUGCACAGACAAUA